Molecule: ribosomal RNA, 68 nt
Filed under: Xenentodon cancila (freshwater garfish)
Lineage: Eukaryota; Metazoa; Chordata; Actinopteri; Beloniformes; Belonidae
Description: partial 16S ribosomal RNA
Source: RNAcentral
GCUUAAUAGCAAUCUCACAACCCUUAAUCCCCAACCCCCAUAUUAAUAAACCACCAAAAAACACUUUA